This 325-nucleotide ribosomal RNA is filed under the name uncultured eukaryote. RNAcentral's name for it is "partial 18S ribosomal RNA". It matches the Rfam family "Eukaryotic small subunit ribosomal RNA", at positions 1470 to 1796 of the family's 1831-position model. The record is from RNAcentral.
CCCUUAGAUGUUCUGGGCCGCACGCGCGCUACACUGAUGCAUUCAACAAGCCUAGCCUUGACCGAGAGGUCCGGGUAAUCUUUGAAACUGCAUCGUGAUGGGGCUAGAUUAUUGCAAUUAUUAAUCUUCAACGAGGAAUGCCUAGUAAGCGUGAUUCAUCAAAUCGCGUUGAAUACGUCCCUGCCCUUUGUACACACCGCCCGUUGCUCCUACCGAUUGAGUGGUCCGGUGAGGCUUUGGGAUCUGAGCGGAAAGAGCGUUUCGCUGUUUCUGCUCGGAAAACUCAGUCGAACCUUAUCAUUUAGAGGAAGGAGAAGUCGUAACA